CCAGACUCCUACGGGAGGCAGCAGUGGGGAAUAUUGCACAAUGGGGGGAACCCUGAUGCAGCGACGCCGCGUGAAGGAAGAAGUAUUUCGGUAUGUAAACUUCUAUCAGCAGGGAAGAAAAUGACGGUACCUGACUAAGAAGCCCCGGCUAACUACGUGCCAGCAGCCGCGGUAAUACGGAGGAUGCGAGCGUUAUCCGGAUUUAUUGGGUUUAAAGGGUGCGUAGGCGGUCCGGAAAGUCAGCGGUAAAAGCCGGGGGCUCACCCCCGGCGAGCCGUUGAAACUGUCGGACUAGAGACGGCGAGAAGUACGCGGAAUGCGCGGUGUAGCGGUGAAAUGCAUAGAUAUCGCGCAGAACUCCGAUUGCGAAGGCAGCGUACCGGCGCCGGACUGACGCUGAGGCACGAAAGCGUGGGUAUCGAACAGGAUUAGAUACCCGGGUAGC
This 445-nucleotide ribosomal RNA is filed under the name uncultured bacterium. Its description in RNAcentral is "bacterial SSU rRNA". It matches the Rfam family "Bacterial small subunit ribosomal RNA", at positions 331 to 794 of the family's 1533-position model. The record is from RNAcentral.